RNAcentral lists this ribosomal RNA (1440 nucleotides) under uncultured organism. RNAcentral describes it as "16S ribosomal RNA". It matches the Rfam family "Bacterial small subunit ribosomal RNA". The record is from RNAcentral.
GCUCAGGAUGAACGCUAGCUACAGGCUUAACACAUGCAAGUCGAGGGGCAGCAUGGUCUUAGCUUGCUAAGGCCGAUGGCGACCGGCGCACGGGUGAGUAACGCGUAUCCAACCUGCCUUACACUCUUGGACAGCCUUCUGAAAGGGAGAUUAAUACAAGAUGUUAUCAUGAGUAAGCAUUUUCGCAUGAUUAAAGGUUUACCGGUGUAAGAUGGGGAUGCGUUCCAUUAGAUAGUAGGCGGGGUAACGGCCCACCUAGUCUUCGAUGGAUAGGGGUUCUGAGAGGAAGGUCCCCCACAUUGGAACUGAGACACGGUCCAAACUCCUACGGGAGGCAGCAGUGAGGAAUAUUGGUCAAUGGACGAGAGUCUGAACCAGCCAAGUAGCGUGAAGGAUGAAGGUUCUAUGGAUUGUAAACUUCUUUUAUACGGGAAUAAACGGAUCCACGUGUGGAUUUUUGCAUGUACCGUAUGAAUAAGGAUCGGCUAACUCCGUGCCAGCAGCCGCGGUAAUACGGAGGAUCCGAGCGUUAUCCGGAUUUAUUGGGUUUAAAGGGAGCGUAGAUGGGUUGUUAAGUCAGUUGUGAAAGUUUGCGGCUCAACCGUAAAAUUGCAAUUGAUACUGGCAGUCUUGAGUACAGUUGAGGUAGGCGGAAUUCGUGGUGUAGCGGUGAAAUGCUUAGAUAUCACGAAGAACUCCGAUUGCGAAGGCAGCUUACUAACCUGUAACUGACAUUGAUGCUCGAAAGUGUGGGUAUCAAACAGGAUUAGAUACCCUGGUAGUCCACACGGUAAACGAUGAAUACUCGCUGUAGGCGAUAUACAGUCUGCGGCCAAGCGAAAGCAUUAAGUAUUCCACCUGGGGAGUACGCCGGCAACGGUGAAACUCAAAGGAAUUGACGGGGGCCCGCACAAGCGGAGGAACAUGUGGUUUAAUUCGAUGAUACGCGAGGAACCUUACCCGGGCUUAAAUUGCAACCGAAUAUGGCGGAAACGCUAUAGCUAGCAAUAGCGGUUGUGAAGGUGCUGCAUGGUUGUCGUCAGCUCGUGCCGUGAGGUGUCGGCUUAAGUGCCAUAACGAGCGCAACCCUUGCCGAUAGUUACUAACAGGUUAUGCUGAGGACUCUGUCGGGACUGCCAUCGUAAGAUGUGAGGAAGGUGGGGAUGACGUCAAAUCAGCACGGCCCUUACGUCCGGGGCUACACACGUGUUACAAUGGGGGGUACAGAGGGCUGCUACCACGCAAGUGGAUGCCAAUCCCAAAAACCUCUCUCAGUUCGGAUUGAAGUCUGCAACCCGACUUCAUGAAGCUGGAUUCGCUAGUAAUCGCGCAUCAGCCACGGCGCGGUGAAUACGUUCCCGGGCCUUGUACACACCGCCCGUCAAGCCAUGGGAGCCGGGGGUACCUGAAGUGCGUAACCGCAAGGAGCGCCCUAGGGUA